This is a long non-coding RNA of Hyaena hyaena (striped hyena), 419 nucleotides long. RefSeq lists it as uncharacterized. Lineage: Eukaryota; Metazoa; Chordata; Mammalia; Carnivora; Hyaenidae. The transcript has 6 exons. The record is from RefSeq and is a predicted model, not a curated record.
CUGGCAAGUUUAAGCUGUGGCUUCUUCGUACUUGCAGAGCACUGUGACGGGCCUAAGAGGACAAAGAGGCUUAGAAAUUCCUAACCAGCACGGGGUCACAGACUGGAAGUGGUAACUGGGACCUUAUCAGCAACUUUGUGAAAUCCUAAGUUUCCUCAAAUCAUUACUGAAGUGGAUUCAUUUCUUCUUUGAGGAGUCUUCAGUCUGAAGGACAGAGGAGUUGGAAUUGACAGACAAUGAAUAAGCAAGAGUUAGAGGCUGCCUCCCUGAAACUUCCCUCACCUUCAGUUGUUUGCCUGCUGGAAUGAUGUGGUUCUCAUCCCUGAGGGAUUUGGCACUACCUGCAGCCCUGGGAAACAGAGCAAGUUCAGAAACCUGGUUUAUGCUUGUUUUACAAAGGAGAAAACAGGAUUGGAGAA